Long non-coding RNA from Phascolarctos cinereus (koala), 483 nucleotides. RefSeq lists it as uncharacterized. Lineage: Eukaryota; Metazoa; Chordata; Mammalia; Diprotodontia; Phascolarctidae. The record is from RefSeq and is a predicted model, not a curated record.
AUUGUCAUGAGAGGUUGUUUUCCUCCUGAUCCUGUAGUAUAAGUAGAGGGUUGAUCAGGAGAACCUGUUCAACUGAGACACUUGUUUAGGACUUUGAUUAUGAGCUAAAGACUCUUCAUAUGUCUCUUAUAGGCAUUAGGUUGAUUUGACAAGCUCAGGCUCCUGGGCAUCGAGAAGAGUAGUGAAAGCUCCUGGACACCAAUUUUCUGGAGGAACGUUGAAUUCCUGGACGUAGGACGGAGUUUGUGGACCAGAUACUGGAGGAACAAGGAAAUGGGUCAUCAUGUCUAGGAGCACAACCUUGCCUUUGUCCUCUGCUGCUACUUUCUAUCAUUCAACCUGUCUUAGUAUGCUGAGGACAAGAAGAUGGCCAAAGAAGGGAGAGGAGCACAACUUGAAGGGGAAAGGAUGGUCAUGGACAAUAGAAAGAAAACAGAACUAUCCACCUCCUAGUUUCUUCUGGUUUUGCUACCAAGGAGAAUG